This 75-nucleotide transfer RNA is filed under the name Acidobacteriota bacterium. RNAcentral describes it as "tRNA-Thr". It matches the Rfam family "tRNA". Rfam says of the family: Transfer RNA (tRNA) molecules are approximately 80 nucleotides in length. Lineage: Bacteria; Pseudomonadati; Acidobacteriota. The record is from RNAcentral.
GCCAGAGUAGCUCAGUGGUAGAGCAGCUGAUUCGUAAUCAGCAGGUCGCGAGUCCGAACCUCGCCUCUGGCUCCA